GCCCCUAUAGCUCAGUUGGUUAGAGCAACAGACUUUUAAUCUGUGGGUCCAGGGUUCGAGUCCCUGUGGGGGCACCA
This 77-nucleotide transfer RNA is filed under the name Kitasatospora indigofera. RNAcentral describes it as "tRNA-Lys". It matches the Rfam family "tRNA". Rfam says of the family: Transfer RNA (tRNA) molecules are approximately 80 nucleotides in length. Their secondary structure includes four short double-helical elements and three loops (D, anti-codon, and T loops). Lineage: Bacteria; Bacillati; Actinomycetota; Actinomycetes; Kitasatosporales; Streptomycetaceae. RNAcentral also lists the same sequence under 4 other names. The record is from RNAcentral.